Long non-coding RNA from Oreochromis aureus, 445 nucleotides. RefSeq lists it as uncharacterized. The record is from RefSeq and is a predicted model, not a curated record. The transcript is spliced from 4 exons. NCBI's taxonomy places the organism in Eukaryota, Metazoa, Chordata, Actinopteri, Cichliformes, Cichlidae.
CGCACUGCGCACUGCAAGUCGGAGCACUGGAGAGUUAGCAACUCAAACUUUUGCAGCCUCUAUCUACACGUGAGAGUUCUGAACGUGCCACGGGUGUAUGUUCAAGGGUCACGUGCUGUGAGCAGGACUGAAGAGCGGGUUGGCGUGGAGGGGAGAUCACUUGCUGUGUGAUUCCUGCGCGUGUACUUGUCCUGGCACAACGGCUGUGUAGAGAAAUCAAAGUCACUACUGUUGUCUAUACUGAUUGAGCUCUGAUAUGGACUUUGAUGUUGCUGUUGUCUCAGACACUGAAAGGCAGUUUUGUGUUGAGCCAGUGGAAUAGUUAAAUGUGACUGUUUUCACUCAAAAAUAUAAACUUAAAACUGUGCUUUCCUGAAUACAGUUGGUGGAAAAAUGUCAUAUAUAUACACACAUAUGUACAUAUAUACACACACACACACACACA